AGAUUAGUAGUUUAUAUAGAACAUUCGAUUGUUAAUCGAAGGGUGAGUGGUUUGUAUUCCUAGUUUU
Molecule: transfer RNA, 67 nt
Filed under: Mytilisepta keenae
Lineage: Eukaryota; Metazoa; Mollusca; Bivalvia; Mytilida; Mytilidae
Description: tRNA-Asn
Rfam family: tRNA
About the family: Transfer RNA (tRNA) molecules are approximately 80 nucleotides in length. Their secondary structure includes four short double-helical elements and three loops (D, anti-codon, and T loops).
Source: RNAcentral